RNAcentral lists this ribosomal RNA (326 nucleotides) under uncultured Verrucomicrobiota bacterium. RNAcentral's name for it is "bacterial SSU rRNA". It matches the Rfam family "Bacterial small subunit ribosomal RNA", at positions 29 to 351 of the family's 1533-position model. The record is from RNAcentral. Lineage: Bacteria; Pseudomonadati; Verrucomicrobiota.
AACGAACGCUGGCGGCGUGUUUAAGACAUGCAAGUCGCACGGGACAACUUGAGUAGCAAUACGAUGGUUGUUGAGUGGCGCACGGGUGAGUAACACGUGAAUUACAUGCCCUUCAGUGGGGGAUAGCCCAGGGAAACUUGGAUUAAUACCCCAUGGUCUCGCAAGAGUAAAGGUGGCCAGCAAUGGCUGUCGCUGGAGGAUUGGUUCGCGCCCUAUCAGCUUGUUGGCGGGGUAACGGCCCACCAAGGCUACGACGGGUACCUGGUCUGAGAGGACGAUCAGGCACACUGGAACUGAGACACGGUCCAGACACCUACGGGAGGCUG